RNAcentral lists this transfer RNA (73 nucleotides) under Stegodyphus mimosarum. It matches the Rfam family "tRNA". From Rfam's summary of the family: Transfer RNA (tRNA) molecules are approximately 80 nucleotides in length. Their secondary structure includes four short double-helical elements and three loops (D, anti-codon, and T loops). Further hydrogen bonds mediate the characteristic L-shaped molecular structure. tRNAs have two regions of fundamental functional importance: the anti-codon, which is responsible for specific mRNA codon recognition, and the 3' end, to which the tRNAs corresponding amino acid is attached (by aminoacyl-tRNA synthetases). tRNAs cope with the degeneracy of the genetic code in two manners: having more than one tRNA (with a specific anti-codon) for a particular amino acid; and 'wobble' base-pairing, i.e. permitting non-standard base-pairing at the 3rd anti-codon position. The record is from Rfam by way of RNAcentral. Lineage: Eukaryota; Metazoa; Arthropoda; Arachnida; Araneae; Eresidae.
GCCUUCGUCGUGCAGUAGUCAGCACGCUCGACCCGUAACCGAGAAGUCACUAGUUCGAUUCCUGGCGAAGGCG